GAUGAACGCUAGCGGCAGGCUUAAUACAUGCAAGUCGAACGGCAGCACGGAUAGCAAUAUCUGGUGGCGAGUGGCGCACGGGUGCGUAACGCGUAUGCAACCUACCUUUAACUGGGGAAUAGCCCCGAGAAAUCGGGAUUAAUACUCCAUAACAUCACGGAAUGGCAUCUUUCUGUGAUCAAAGCUCAGGCGGUUUAAGAUGGGCAUGCGUGACAUUAGCUAGUUGGUAAGGUAACGGCUUACCAAGGCUUCGAUGUCUAGGGGUUCUGAGAGGAUAUUCCCCCACACUGGUACUGAGACACGGACCAGACUCCUACGGGUGGCAG
Molecule: ribosomal RNA, 326 nt
Filed under: uncultured Bacteroidota bacterium
Lineage: Bacteria; Pseudomonadati; Bacteroidota
Description: bacterial SSU rRNA
Rfam family: Bacterial small subunit ribosomal RNA
Source: RNAcentral